AAAAAAACAUAUCAUUUAGAUUCAAAUAUUCAAUUCUAUUUAGAAUUCAAACUAAUUUAGAUAUAUUCAAAUGUCAGAAAAAAAAAAAACAAACGCCGCUAAGUUUAUAAUUUCAAUUGAAAAGGACAAAAUAUAUCUUCUAAAAAUUUUAAGACAUGUGGUGGCUGCCCCGCAAAUCCCGUAGUAGCACGGUCACUGGCAACAGCCAGCAACUGAUCAACAACCAAUCUUUUCGAUCAUCAUCCUGAAAUCGUUCUACUUCAAAUUGAAAUUCAAUUCAAACUAACAAUUUAAGGAAAUUCAAGUAUAAUCGACCUACUUAGAUUGGAUAAAAAUGAAAUGUUUUAUUAUUGUUUUUGAUGAAUUCAAAACAUAGAUUCUAUUUAAAAUUAGGGUAGAUUUUCCCCCGAGCAAUCGAUUGAUGUAAUUGUGUUUAUUCAUUUAUUAAUUAUAUUAAUUGUGCUAAUAUGUUUAACACACUUAAUAAAUAAUUAAAAAUUA
This 501-nucleotide long non-coding RNA is filed under the name Citrus x clementina. Its description in RNAcentral is "Citrus clementina (C. clementina) long non-coding RNA (CCLE_LNC001392)". Lineage: Eukaryota; Viridiplantae; Streptophyta; Magnoliopsida; Sapindales; Rutaceae. The record is from RNAcentral.